RNAcentral lists this transfer RNA (87 nucleotides) under Clostridiales bacterium. RNAcentral's name for it is "tRNA-Leu". It matches the Rfam family "tRNA". Rfam says of the family: Transfer RNA (tRNA) molecules are approximately 80 nucleotides in length. Their secondary structure includes four short double-helical elements and three loops (D, anti-codon, and T loops). Lineage: Bacteria; Bacillati; Bacillota; Clostridia; Eubacteriales. The record is from RNAcentral.
GGCGAUGUGGUGGAAUUGGUAGACGCGACAGACUCAAAAUCUGUUACAUUAAGUUGUGUAUGGGUUCGAGUCCCAUCAUCGCCACCA